UCUCACAUUUGAUGUUCUUUAAAGUGGAGACCUCAGAACUGGAGAAAAUCAGUUUCUCACUUUUCUGCAAUGGAAAGUUAUUACCUCAUCUAGGGAAGACAGGUCCAUGACACACGGGAUGGCCUUGACAGUGGAGAACCUACUUCCACAGAUAAUAUGUUCCUCGCUCUUCUGCAAAGGAAAGGUAGAGGAUGAACUUUCUCGGCUAUCAGUUAUUACCUCAUCAUGAGAAGACAGGUCCAUCUCACUUUUGAUGUUCUUUAAAGUGGAGAUCGCACUACCAGGAGAAAAGCUGUUUUUUAUUUUUUUGUUGAUAUGAGUGUCAUUGUUAGAAGUACGAUGGGGAUGAUGUUGAAUGAUCUUUCCCUGAGUUUUUCUUCAACACGUGGGUUGUAGUCAAGCAGUCUGCUGGAAAUUGUGUUUCCUGGGAUGGAUCCCAGGUCAAAUGGAAGCAGAGUGAUCUGCUGGCACUGGAGUGCUUGGGUAUGGUUUCAUUUUCAUUUGUUUGUUUUCUUUUAUUAGUGUGCUGUCAAGUGUGUGUGUGUAUGUUUGUGUAUAUUAAUGCUAAUAGAUUUUCAGUCAAAACAUACAUCAGAGGGCUAAACUGAUAAAGAUUCUUGCCAGCAUGACUGACAACUCCAAUUUGAUCCCUCAGACUGAAACGGUGAGAGGAGAGAACCGAUGUCUAUAAAUUAUCCUUGGUCUUGCCUCCUUUGCCCCAACCCUAUCACAUGGCAUCACAGGCAAAUUUGAUCAAAGCUUAGCUUUGGCAUGUGAUAGGUGGAUCUGAGCGUCCUAUCCUGGAAGUACAUUGGGGAUGACGUUGAAUGAUGUUUACCUCGGUUUUUGCUUCGAUGUCAGACUUAUAUUCUAGCAGUUUGCUGGCAAUUUUUGUGUUGUCCCUGGAAACAGCAUGGUGCAGGACUGUAUUUCCACUUAAAUCACUCAGGUGGGAAUUAGCACCCUGAAUCAGUAAUAUAGUUAUGCAUUCUACAUUGCCCCUCUGUGUGGCCUGUUGGUAUUGUAUAAAGAAAGAGACAUUCAAUUCAAGAAAGUCAAGAUAAAUAUUUCUAAAAUUGCAUUGAAUAGUUACACUUAGAUCAGAGAAAUUGCUCAGCUUAUGCAUAUUUCCCUCUUUUUUAAGACAGGGUCUUCUUAAGUACCCUAGUCUUGCCUAAAUUCAUAAUCUCUCCACCAAAGCUUUCCAAGUGAUAGAAUUUCAGGAGUGUGCCAAUACACCUAGAUAUUAAAGCAUCUCAUCAGCACUAGUUGGUUGCUGUUAUAGUGAGGGAGGUUGCUUGUUCAUUUGUUUUGCUAACUUGACACAGGCUGAAGAUCCCUGGAAAGAGGGAUCCUCACUUGAGGAAUUGCCUCUAUCAGACUGGGCUGUGGGAAAGUCUGUGGAGCAUUUUCUUGAUUGAGGUUGAUGUGGGAGGGCACUGCUUCCUAGAGGUGGUUGCACAGCUUGGCAGGUAGUCCAGAGUAGUAUAAGAAAGCUGCAAGCCUUGGAAAAAGCCAUGGAAAAGCAGCAUUGCCCCCAUGAUCUCUGCUUCAGUUCCUGCCUCUGGUUCCUGAUUUGAGCUCCUGCCCUGGUUUCCCUUCAUGAUGG
Long non-coding RNA from Peromyscus leucopus (white-footed mouse), 1609 nucleotides. RefSeq lists it as uncharacterized. Lineage: Eukaryota; Metazoa; Chordata; Mammalia; Rodentia; Cricetidae. The record is from RefSeq and is a predicted model, not a curated record. The transcript has 3 exons.